Molecule: transfer RNA, 72 nt
Filed under: Camelus bactrianus (Bactrian camel)
Lineage: Eukaryota; Metazoa; Chordata; Mammalia; Artiodactyla; Camelidae
Also listed under: 2 other names
Rfam family: tRNA
About the family: Transfer RNA (tRNA) molecules are approximately 80 nucleotides in length.
Source: Rfam by way of RNAcentral
GAGGGUAUAGCUCAGUGGUAGAGUGCAUGCCUAGCAUGCAUGAGGUCCUGGGUUCAAUCCCGAGUGCCUCUA